Long non-coding RNA from Saccostrea cuccullata (small rock oyster), 340 nucleotides. RefSeq lists it as uncharacterized. The transcript has 3 exons. NCBI's taxonomy places the organism in Eukaryota, Metazoa, Mollusca, Bivalvia, Ostreida, Ostreidae. The record is from RefSeq and is a predicted model, not a curated record.
GGUUAUUAAUCUGCUGAAGUCUCGAAAUACUACCCGAAGGGAAAUUCUCUUGAUGUUUCCUACCAUAGGCAUUUCAUUUCGAGUGCUUGCCAACACUGAGUUAUUAAAUGUCAUGCCAAUUAUUGCAAACCAUUCUUUGAAAGGUAAGAUAAAUGGACUUCUCGGAGACUUUGAUGAGAACCCGUCCAACGACUUGAUUUUACCAAAUGGAACGGUCUUGGAGACAAAUACAACGGAAGAAAAUAUUUUUUCAUCUUUCAAUAAUGCAUUUCUUCAGGACAAGAGGCUAAAGAAAUGUGUGGAAUCAACACAGACUGCUUGUUUGACUUUUAUGUAACUG